This 585-nucleotide ribosomal RNA is filed under the name uncultured bacterium. RNAcentral's name for it is "partial 16S ribosomal RNA". It matches the Rfam family "Bacterial small subunit ribosomal RNA", at positions 355 to 1375 of the family's 1533-position model. The record is from RNAcentral.
UGGGGAAUUUUGGACAAUGGGCGAAAGCCUGAUCCAGCAAUGCCGCGUGUGUGAAGAAGGCCUUCGGGUUGUAAAGCACUUUUGUCCGGAAAGAAAUCCUUGGCUCUAAUACAGUCGGGGGAUGACGGUACCGGAAGAAUAAGCACCGGCUAACUACGUGCCAGCAGCCGCGGUAAUACGUAGGGUGCAAGCGUUAAUCGGAAUUACUGGGCAUAAAGCGUGCGCAGGCGGUUUGCUAAGACCGAUGUGAAAUCCCCGGGCUCAACCUGGGAACUGCAUUGGUGACUGGCAGGCUAGAGUAUGGCAGAGGGGGGUAGAAUUCCACGUGUAGCAGUGAAAUGCGUAGAGAUGUGGAGGAAUACCGAUGGCGAAGGCAGCCCCCUGGGCCAAUACUGACGCUCAUGCACGAAAGCGUGGGGGAGCAAACAGGAUUAGAUACCCUGGUAGUCCACGCCCUAAACGAUGUCAACUAGUUGUUGGGGAUUCAUUUCCUAGUAACGUAGCUAACGCGUGAAGUUGACCGCCUGGGGAGUACGGUCGCAAGAUUAAAACUCAAAGGAAUUGACGGGGUCAUAGCUGUUUCCU